UUAACGGUUUCUCAGACCCCAGUAAGUAUUUAUUUUUAUAAAGUUUUUCACUUUCAAUAAUACAAUUUUCAAUACACGGCGAUAUGGAUAGGCAAAUUAACUACAAUAUGUUAAUUUUUCUAUAUAAUAUGUCAUAAUAUUUUCGUAGUGCCUGCGAUAAAAAAAAUCUGAUCAUUUGUUAUACAUAUUAGGCAAUCUUACCUAAUUUUACCUUAUCACGAGUGCUCAAUUGAAUUUAACUAUUGUUAGGUAUUAGGGUUCCAGGAGAAAAUUAAUAAUACAAAUGUAAUAUAUUAUAUGUCUAACUUCUACGUUAAUAAACACAUAAAAUGAUUUAUUUCUAUAACUUAAAUCAAUAUAAUUACAUAAAUCCAGACCACGAAGAAGGAAUGCAAUACCUAUGAUCACAUCGUCAAAACAAAGCAAUAAAAAGAACGAUUGGCAUCUCACAGCCACGUCAAAGGAAAAUACCCAAAGUAAUAAUCGCAAACGGAUGCAGAUUAUCAGAACGCAAUUUCAAAAUAGAACUAUUAUUUAAUAUCCAAAUAUAAGAGGGGACAGAAAAUGGUUAUAUAACUACAAAGACCAGUCCAUCUCCACAAGCAGAGCAGUGUGUACCUCUCCGGGCACAAUGCUUCCCUACGACUGCCAGUGCAUCGUCAGAAUCGGAGCAGUACGCAAGACCUACGCCAUUCAACAUCGAAGACAUACACACAUUUUCAUUCUAUCUUUCUCAAGCGAAUAACAUUCUAUCGUUCGUUAUUUAUUAUUCAAAAUUGAAUUUAAAUAUUGCGUUAAUUUAAUAUACCACAUAUGGUCUUAUUGGUUUAAAAUUCCUUAGCUUAAAUUUGGUCUGCCUAUGUAAAAUCUUUCUAUGAUAUACACAAUACCUAUUUACAUUACUUCCUCGAAAGAACACAAUUCAAAAACUCGUUUAUCUUGUGUGUUUGAUUUAUAGUAUAUUUACAAUACAAUAUUAUUAGAAUAUAUCGUUCGAUAGUAUUUGAAAGAAUACGUAUGCGAGGGAAUUCUUUGACGUAUCUGCAUUCUGAACAUACUAUAUAACAUUCACAUACUUAACAAACAUCCUAAAAUUGCAUCCACGACUGUUAAACAUUACAUGCGUGUUUUUAUAAAUACAUAUUGAGGUAUUGUGUACAUCGAAUAACGAUAAGUCACUACAAACAACAUCACGUAAUAAAUCUUAGAUCACAUAAGAGAUCACACGUACAAUUGUAGAGGUAAUUCGUAUAUAGUUAAUUUAAUAUUGCAAUAAUAACGCGUAUCGAAUCACGAUCAACCGAGACAACUUCAGAGACACCAAGAGCAAAAGAGAAUACAUAGACGUUACAGUCAAGGAUAUGCAAUUGCCAAUUGGAUAGAAAAAACAGAUUGAUCAUUGAUUUCUGUAAUCAAGCUUUUUUGUGCUAUGUCAUUUAAAAUGGACCCCACGACGUCCACAAAAUAUGAUAACGCGGGAUAUUCAACUAACAAAAAAAAGGAAAACUGCAAAAAGCCAUCAUGUAUGAAUAUAAAGACGGUUAUAGACAACCGGUAUAUCAAUAAUAUACAAAUCCUGUGCCUAAUUCUUAAGUGGGAUUUUCCAAAAUACGAUUAUUUUAUCAAUAUGGACAUGGUACCAGGUAGAUACUGCCAUACGGUUUUACAUACAGCGAUAUGCUCCACGAUGAUUUACAAAUCCAUAGGCUAAGGUAGAAAGAAAAAUGUUGUUAAAAACGAAGCGGCUAAAAAAAUGUACGAACAAAUAAUAAAUUUGUCCAAAGACGAAAUCGAUAACAUUCUGCAGCACUGUAAACACAAAAUUCCAUGGAUAAAUUUCGAUAACAAAAAGACAUUGGAGAUUUCUACUUCACCUGGCAUUCUGAAAAUUGUCAGAGAGUUAUUUGGUCGAUUACACAAUAAUCCUUGUCUAAAAAAUCUAAAAGUAUUAUAUUGUAAUGUAUAUUUGACUAUAUAGAAGUUAUUAACAAUAUUGUACAAUUUUUUUUUUUUGAUUAUGUAUAUGCAGGAAUUUGAUUCAUUUGAAAAUAUUUCAGCCGUUGAUAUGUUGAACACAAUCGCAGUAAAAUAAGAUUUGAGCUUAACGUACUUCGUACGUGAACAAAUUCCCGGUAUGAAAUUAACUAAAACUAAAAUCUGAUAUCUUAACUAUAGUUAAGUAACAUUUUUUUUUCAAACGUUGGAAAUGUGGCAAAAAUAAACAUAAUUUAUGGUAUGGUGUUUGUUCGUUUUGGAUUGACCAUUGCUCAAGCUAAAGAAUCAGCCGCUUUUGCUGUUUUAAUGUACGUUAAUGACGUAAACAUAAUCAAUCAAAAACAAUAAAAAAAAUCAUUUAACCACCAUCAUGGUGCUCGGUGUUGCUAAUAAAAAAAAAUAGUGAUUCAUAGUUAUAUCAUUUUAAGGUAAAUUUUGUAAUAAUAAGGUAAAAUUUUUUAAAGUUAGGAAAAUAAAAUGAUUUUUCUUUAUUUAUAACUUUAAGUUUUUUAACAUUGUUUUUAUCAAAUUUGAUACCACCAAGCACCAUCAAGCACUAUAGCGGUGGUAAAAUGAUUUUAUAUAUCAAAUCAUAUUUUAAUUUUGAACCCAAUGUAGUAGUAUUUUUAACUAUCAUAAUAUUCAUAAGUCUUGAAAGCUUGAAAAGUAUUAUUGUUUAACGAGGCAUAAUAGCCAUAAUAUAUACCUAUAGGUUAGUUAACCUAACCUAUAUGUAAGGCUGGGCAAGUUAACGAUUUUUUUUAACUCGUUAAGUUAAGUUAUUUUAAAAUAAUAAAGUUAAGUUAAAAGUUACUCGUAUUUUUUUUCGUUAACUCGUUAAGUUAAAAGUUAACUUUGAAAAAAAAGUAACGUAACUUAGUGUAAAUUUAAAAUUUACUAAUUUGCAAAAUAAAAACUCUAGACACAAAAUAUGGUUUGUUAGAUAGUUUUUAUUUACGCUUAAGAAAAUUACUGGGGAAAUUUAAAAUGAUACAUCAAAGUAAAAACUCAUUCGAAAAUUUGUAUUUUUCUUUGGACGAAAAUUAACUUAAUUUAGAUACUUUUGAAAUAAAAUUAACUUGAA
Metopolophium dirhodum (rose-grain aphid) is the source of this 3079-nucleotide long non-coding RNA. RefSeq lists it as uncharacterized. Lineage: Eukaryota; Metazoa; Arthropoda; Insecta; Hemiptera; Aphididae. The record is from RefSeq and is a predicted model, not a curated record. The transcript is spliced from 4 exons.